GACGAACGCUGGCGGCGUGCUUAACGCAUGCAAGUCGAACGGAAAGGCCCUGCUUUUGUUGGGUGCUCGAGUGGCGAACGGGUGAGUAACACGUGAGUAACCUGCCCUUGACUUUGGGAUAACUUCAGGAAACUGGGGCUAAUACCGGAUAGGAGCUCCUGCUGCAUGGUGGGGGUUGGAAAGUUUCGGCGGUUGGGGAUGGACUCGCGGCUUAUCAGCUUGUUGGUGGGGUAGUGGCUUACCAAGGCUUUGACGGGUAGCCGGCCUGAGAGGGUGACCGGCCACAUUGGGACUGAGAUACGGCCCAGACUCCUACGGGAGGCAGCAGUGGGGAAUAUUGCACAAUGGGCGGAAGCCUGAUGCAGCAACGCCGCGUGCGGGAUGACGGCCUUCGGGUUGGAAACCGCUUUCGCCGGUGACGAAGCGUGAGUGACGGUAAUGGGUAAAGAAGCACCGGCUAACUACGUG
This 468-nucleotide ribosomal RNA is filed under the name uncultured bacterium. RNAcentral describes it as "partial 16S ribosomal RNA". It matches the Rfam family "Bacterial small subunit ribosomal RNA", at positions 28 to 507 of the family's 1533-position model. The record is from RNAcentral.